Cyprinus carpio (common carp) is the source of this 807-nucleotide long non-coding RNA. NCBI's taxonomy places the organism in Eukaryota, Metazoa, Chordata, Actinopteri, Cypriniformes, Cyprinidae. The record is from Ensembl.
GAUUUCAACACUUUGCUGCUCUGCAACGUUAAUUCCAUUAAUAUUUAAUAUUANGAUUAAAAAUAUUUAUGGCAAUUUUUAUUCAAAUUUUUUGGAUAAAGGCAUCUUUCAAAUGCAUAAAUGUCACCAAAAAAAAAAAAAAAAAAAAAAAAAUAUAUAUAUAUAUAUAUAUAUAUAAAAUAUUUUUUUUUUUGUGACAUUUAUGCAUUUGAAAGAUGCCUUUAUCCAAAUAUUUUUGAUAAAAUUGGAUACAAAUUUUGUGACAUAAAUGUCAUAUUUAUUACUUUUGAAUUUAAUAUUAAAUGCAUUUUUUUUUUCACAGCCUAAAGUGGUCAAAAGAGAGACAGUGUCUGUUCUUAGUAAGCUGAUGGAUUCCAAAGAAGCUAAUAAGAAAACAGAUCUGAUGGAAGAGCUUGGUUUGGGGGAUGCUGAUGAUCUUGAAGAUGCUUCAGACUGGGACUCUGCCAGCACCACCAGUAAGGCCAGUAAGAAAUUCCCAGUUCAUAAGCUGGAUGAGGAGCCCGUCUUUGAAAGCCCAGCAGCUUCCGCACUACCCAUAACAUCCGAGGAACAGGACGUGGACACCAGGGAACAUAAAAAAGCCAGUCCAGAGAUAAACAAACCCACAACCUCAAGCACAAAACCUCUACCUAGUCCACGUUCUCUCAACACAAACGCCAGCUCAAAACCACAAGCACUGCCACGACUGCGCUUGGACUCCAAUCAGAGGCCGGAGAGUGAAGGUAGAACUCAGAAACUACAAAUCUAGCUUUUGAGAUGAUUUCAAUAAAUAUAUAUGCUGAUACA